This 812-nucleotide unclassified non-coding RNA is filed under the name Hevea brasiliensis (rubber tree). Lineage: Eukaryota; Viridiplantae; Streptophyta; Magnoliopsida; Malpighiales; Euphorbiaceae. The record is from RNAcentral.
GAAAAAAAAAAAAAGAAGAGCAAUAUUUACACAGAAACAUUUAUUUAACAGUCCUGAAACAAAUCAAAUUCUUUUGCAAAUAAUUCAAAUAAUCCAAUCCGCAACUAUAACUCCCUUUUACUCUUAUGGAUACAGCUAGUAGCCUAAGAAGAUUGAACCUUUAAGAACAUAAUGAAUCGCGCUCAUAUUCCAUUCUCUUUCUGAUUCUGCCAAAAUAAUGCUAAAAAUUAAAAGCAAGAUUUACAAAUGCUAUCAAAAGCUUGAAAUCAUAUAACCUACAAAUUCACAUGAUCUAAAAUAAAAUACAAGGCUUAAAUUUUGUCUCAGAAGGUAUUGAGUGGAAACAUAAUCAUUGGCCGAUAUUCCGCACACCACAGAUCUGAGAUGUCCUACUAAGCUAAUCUAAUAUCAAAUCAUAGGACCAAAAAAAAUACUACAAAUCGGAGUUCCUCAAAAUCAUAUCAGGGUCCAUUUACAAUGAACAUCCACUUAGGUAAGAGAAAAUUUCACACAGACGAACAUGAAGGCAUAUAAAGGAGGGAGAUUGAGUAUAUACCAUCAUUCCGGCGCUUAAAAACGUAACGUUCCAUUUGGAAGUCGCAGUUCUUAGUACCGAGGUGGACUUCGGCAGCCAACAUCAUCUGUAUAUCCAACUCCUUUUGGGACAAAGCCCGUGUUGGUGCCGCUGCUGUGCCCGUCGCCAUGGCUGCGCUGCGCAAGAGUGAAUGAGACGGAAGGAUUGUGAUAGGAAGACAGAUAAAUAGGGUUUUCUUUAACCUAGCUGAUAGUACGUAGGGUUUUUACCCCCCCGA